CUGCGAAUGGCUCAUUAAAUCAGUUAUCGUUUAUUUGAUAGUACCUUACUACUUGGAUAACCGUGGUAAUUCUAGAGCUAAUACAUGCUAAAAACCCCAACUUCGGGAGGGGUGUAUUUAUUAGAUAAAAAACCAACGCCCUUCGGGGCUCCUUGGUGAAUCAUAAUAACUUAACGGAUCGCAUGGCCUUGCGCCGGCGACGGUUCAUUCAAAUUUCUGCCCUAUCAACUUUCGAUUGUAGGGUAUUGGCCUACAAUGGUAUCAACGGGUAACGGGGAAUUAGGGUUCGAUUCCGGAGAGGGAGCCUGAGAAACGGCUACCACAUCCAAGGAAGGCAGCAGGCGCGCAAAUUACCCAAUCCCGACACGGGGAGGUAGUGACAAUAAAUACUGAUACAGGGCUCUUUUGGGUCUUGUAAUUGGAAUGAGUACAAUUUAAAUCCCUUAACGAGGAACAAUUGGAGGGCAAGUCUGGUGCCAGCAGCCGCGGUAAUUCCAGCUCCAAUAGCGUAUAUUAAAGUUGUUGCAGUUAAAAAGCUCGUAGUUGAACCUUGGGCCUGGCUGGCCGGUCCGCCUCACCGCGUGCACUGGUCCGGCCGGGCCUUUCCUUCUGGAGAGCCGCAUGCCCUUCACUGGGUGUGUCGGGGAACCAGGACUUUUACUUUGAAAAAAUUAGAGUGUUCAAAGCAGGCCUUUGCUCGAAUACAUUAGCAUGGAAUAAUAGAAUAGGACGUGCGGUUCUAUUUUGUUGGUUUCUAGGACCGCCGUAAUGAUUAAUAGGGAUAGUCGGGGGCAUCAGUAUUCAAUUGUCAGAGGUGAAAUUCUUGGAUUUAUUGAAGACUAACUACUGCGAAAGCAUUUGCCAAGGAUGUUUUCAUUAAUCAGUGAACGAAAGUUAGGGGAUCGAAGACGAUCAGAUACCGUCGUAGUCUUAACCGUAAACUAUGCCGACUAGGGAUCGGGCGAUGUUAUUAUUUUGACUCGCUCGGCACCUUACGAGAAAUC
RNAcentral lists this ribosomal RNA (1004 nucleotides) under Rhytidhysteron sichuanense. Its description in RNAcentral is "SSU rRNA". It matches the Rfam family "Eukaryotic small subunit ribosomal RNA", at positions 87 to 1099 of the family's 1831-position model. Lineage: Eukaryota; Fungi; Ascomycota; Dothideomycetes; Hysteriales; Hysteriaceae. The record is from RNAcentral.